RNAcentral lists this ribosomal RNA (492 nucleotides) under uncultured bacterium. RNAcentral describes it as "partial 16S ribosomal RNA". It matches the Rfam family "Bacterial small subunit ribosomal RNA", at positions 29 to 507 of the family's 1533-position model. The record is from RNAcentral.
AGUGAACGCUGGCGGUAGGCCUAACACAUGCAAGUCGAGCGGAAGCACAGUGCUAGCUUCUGGUUUCAGCUGCCGACUGGCGGGUGGUUCAUGAGAACAUCCGUGUCUACUUUUUAGAGCGGGCUAACGCGGGGACUAUUACGCCAAACGUGCAGACGGCGUAAGGGUGGAAUCAGGGGACCUUCCGCUAUUGCAUGAGUGUAUGUGCGGAUGUCGGAUUAGCUAGUUGGCGGGGUAAAGGCCCACCAAGGCGACGAUCCGUAGCUGGUCUGAGAGGAUGAUCAGCCACACUGGAACUGAGACACGGUCCAGACUCCUACGGGAGGCAGCAGUGGGGAAUAUUGGACAAUGGGCGCAAGCCUGAUCCAGCCAUACCGCGUGGGUGAAGAAGGCCUUCGGGUUGUAAAGCCCUUUUGUUGGGAAAGAAAAGCAGCAGGUUAAUACCCCGCUGUUCUGACGGUACCCAAAGAAUAAGCACCGGCUAACUUCGUG